Molecule: long non-coding RNA, 8222 nt
Filed under: Zostera marina
Lineage: Eukaryota; Viridiplantae; Streptophyta; Magnoliopsida; Alismatales; Zosteraceae
Description: long non-coding RNA (ZMAR_LNC005127)
Source: RNAcentral
UUAUAAUUAAUAUAAAUAAGGCUGUAAAUAAUGUUAUUUUAUUCCAAUGAAAUAAUAUUUUUUUGUCCACUUUGAUUCGUCACACAACGAUGGCAAUUCCCCCCCAAAUCUGACCGUCGUCCGCUCUGGCAGUUCGAUUCGACCAUCGUCGAUUAUCCAUCCAUGCAGGAAUUUAACAACACUAACCAAGGUGAUUGAUAUGAGGCUGUUCAAUUAUUCUGAAGUUGAGAAAGACAUUUGAUGCUUUGGAAAUUAAGAACCCUAGAAAUGGAUUUGGGAUCGAGAAGGCGAUGAUUCAAGGACGUUGGAGGCAAGCAAACCCUAUUCAAGAAGAACCGGUAGAAAUCAUUGGAUGCGAUGAUACUCAGCUUCAGAUGCCAUUAGUAUCAAGAUUAAUCCCACCAUUAAUCUUCUUCAAUUUGCCCUAGCAAUAACGUCAUCAAAUGCCUUCGACUUCUCCAUUGACAUUUCCAACUGAAAAAGAAAGAAGGAAAAAAUAUUUUUCAUUUGCUUUACUAACGAUGCGACUAGUUAUUUCGUUGCAAACUUCCACAGUAGAUGUUUUGAUAUCUUAUCAGGAAGAAUUAAAUAAAGAAAUUUAUAUUUAAUUUAUACAAUUUUGAAGAAUUCUAGAUCUGAAUCUAUCUUGUUAUUACCUUUCGACACAACAAAAUUAUUAUUCUUCAGAAUAUCGGAUAUGCUAAUCACAGAUCCCGCUGCUAUAAAAGCAAAAAAUAAACGAUUAAUAAUUUCAGAAUUAAAAUGUGGCUCAAAUUCAUGGCAUUCGUUAAAGAAAUCAAGGAACAAAUCAGUAACACCAAGUUCAUAUCUAAAUCCCAGGCAUAAGAAGAACAUAAUUAGGGUUUAUAAGAAAAAUCAAUCAAUCUAAUGAUCUGAACAGUACCUUGGCUAGGUCAACGUAGAAGAAUAACAAAUCACCCUAUGAAAUAAUCUAUAAUAAAAAAUCCAACUAUGAUACACAAAAAAUAACUUUUGGUUGCUUGUGUUAUGCAACUACAAAUAAUAGAGAAUAUAAGUUCUCACCAAGAUCCUUUAAAGGAAUAUUCAUAAGAUAUCCCCCAAAUAUUAAAGGAUAUUUAAUACUAGAUCCACAAACUACAAACUUUCACAUUAGUAGAAAUGUGGUUUUUAGAGAAAACAUAUUUUCCUUCAAAAGUGAAGAAACAAAAGAAAACAUACAAAAUUCAGACUAACCCAAAAUUCAGAAAAGUUGUGGGUUCAAAAUGGAUCUACAAAAUAAAAUACAAACCCAAUAUUGGAGACAUUGAGAGAUAUAAAGGUAGGUUUGUUGCCAAGGCUUUACUCAAAAAAAGGAUUUGAUUUUUAUGAAAGUUUUGUUCCGGUAGCAAAAACAGUUCAUAUGUUCAACAAAGCAUUAGUUGAAAACAUAUUAAGAGCCUCUCUAAAGCUUGGAAUAGCAAAUAUCUACUCCAAGACUUGAGAGGGGAGAAAAGGAAUCAAUUAGUAAAUUAAAUAAUUAAGAUCUCUAAAUUAACUUCAUUUUACUUUAAGUCUUUGCAUGUAAUUUGUAAAACAUUUUUGGACUUAAGUGAAAUAACAAAGUAAUUGAACAUUUUCAUAUAUGGGCCAAUAUUAAAGCCCAGUGAAAGAUAUUAACAUCAUACAACCCAAAAGCAAUGGAUCAAAUAUCUUGAAUUACAAUUAGUUGUUUAAAGAUCUUGAAUUUAAUUAGUUGUUUAAAACUAAUUGUAAUUAGUUAAAGAUAACUAAAAGAUUAUAGUUGAUUAUAAUUAAUAUAAAUAAGGCUGUAAAUAAUGUUAUUUUAUUCCAAUGAAAUAAUAUUUUUUUCUCCACUUUGAUUCGUCACACAACGAUGGCAAUUCCCCCCAAAUCUGACCGUCGUCCGCUCUGGCAGUUCGAUUCGACCAUCGUUGAUUAUCCAUCCAUGCAGGAAUUUAACAACACUAACCAAGGUGAUUGAUAUGAGGCUGUUCAAUUAUUCUGAAGUUGAGAAAGACAUUUGAUGCUUUGGAAAUUAAGAACCCUAGAAAUGGAUUUGGGAUCGAGAAGGCGAUGAUUCAAGGACGUUGGAGGCAAGCAAACCCUAUUCAAGCAUAUUCAAGAAGAACCGGUAGAAAUCAUUGGAUGCGAUGAUACUCAGCUUCAGAUGCCAUUAGUAUCAAGAUUAAUCCCACCAUUAAUCUUCUUCAAUUUUCCCUAGCAAUAACGUCAUCAAAUGCCUUCGACUUCUCCAUUGACAUUUCCAACUGAAAAAGAAAGAAGGAAAAAAUAUUUUUCAUUUGCUUUACUAACGAUGCGACUAGUUAUUUCGUUGCAAACUUCCACAGUAGAUGUUUUGAUAUCUUAUCAGGAAGAAUUAAAUAAAGAAAUUUAUAUUUAAUUUAUACAAUUUUGAAGAAUUCUAGAUCUGAAUCUAUCUUGUUAUUACCUUUCGACACAACAAAAUUAUUAUUCUUCAGAAUAUCGGAUAUGCUAAUCACAGAUCCCGCUGCUAUAAAAGCAAAAAAUAAACGAUUAAUAAUUUCCAAAGAAAACAUAAUAAUUCAUAAUCCUACCCAUUCCAAGUGUAGAUAAUUCAAUUUCUCCAUACUGCUGAAGAUAUUUCUGAAAAUGCAAGAUCACCAUUUAGAAAUAUUAGAUAAAAAUAAAUCGCUGAAAAACAUAAUGAUCUGAACAGUACCUUGGCUAGGUUAACGUAGAAGAAUAACAAAUCACCCUAUGAAAUAAUCUAUAAUAAAAAAUAGAACUAUGAUACACAAAAAACUUUUGGUUGGUUGUGUUAUGCAACAACAAGUAAUAGAGAACAUAAGUUCUCACCAAGAUCCUUUAAAGGAAUAUUCAUGAGAUAUCCCCCAAAUGUUAAAGGAUAUUUAAUACUAGAUUCAGAAACUAAAAACUUUCACAUUAGUAGAAAUGUGGUUUUUAGAGAAAACGUAUUUCCCUUUAAAACUGUAGAAACAAAAGAAAACAUACAGAAUUCGUAUCAACAAAAUAACAUAUAUAUAAUGAAAUAAUACUCGCACAUGAAAAUGAAAGGAAAAACGUAACUCAAAAAGACAAAAUCAAUUUGUCUACACAAUCAAAAUAUUCAAACUAAAAUAAAAAAGAGAAUACUCUCAUAGAACCAAUACGUUCUAAUCCAAGCAAAAAUGGUCAUACCCAGAACAUUACAACAUAACAUGAUUUUUUAGAAGAAAAUCUAAGUUCAACCUCAGAAAAACUAUUGAAUAAUUCAAAAGAGGAAAUAAAUCAAAACACAAAUCUAUCAGAUUAUAUAAAUAAUGAAAAAAAUAAUUCAUCAGAUAACCAAAUAAAUUCUGAUAAAUCAUCAGAAUAUCAAAUAAAUCAUAACCUAUCAAAGAAUCAAUCUGACAAAUACACAGAUCAAAAUUUAAACCAAAUUCAAAUAAUAACUGAAACUCAAAACAAAAAUGAUCAAACUUCAACAAACAUAUUACAAAGAAACAAUGAAGUUAUAAAUAAUAAAAUAACAAUGAACACCAUAAUAAAAUCUGAGAGAGAGGUAAAUAAACUAAAUAUUUUGAGAAUAACUAACUUAAAGAUGAUGGUUAAUAUAAAACAAAAUAUCCAAUGAGCAAUCAUGUCUCAUAUCAUAGAAUAAAUAGAAAUCAUAAAUAAUUUUUAAAACAAAUAACAAUCAAUAAUGAACCCAACACAUAUAAGGAAGCUUCAAAUUAAAUAAUCCAAAAUAGGUAGAAGCAAUGAAAAAAGAGAUGGAUGCAUUAUUAGAAAAUAACCUCCAUUUCAUCAUCCAAAUUGAAAGGUCUUCAUCUUCAAGCCAUGGAGAAAGAGAAGAAAGGAAAGCUUCAUUUUAUAAUCAUCCCAUACCUAGCCCCGGGCCAUAUACUCCCAUCUAUUGAUUUUGGCCGUCUACUAGCCAGUCGUGGAAAUGUAGUAACAAUAAUCACUACAACUCCGGCUUACGUUGCGCGUUUCACACGUUUCAAAACAACGACCGCAAACCAACCACCUAUUCGGUUCGCAGGUGUGCCUCCUAGGCAAGAAGGAGGGUGCGAGAGCGCAUAUGAAGUAAAAGAUCCUCUAUGUGUGUUUGAAAUAUCUAAGGGGGGAAAGAUCUAGUGAAGGAAUGGAUUGAAAAAGAGAAGAUGGGUGUUUAUGAUGAUAUUCCGAUUUGCAUGGUAUCAGAUUAUUGCCAAACAUGGACGAGAAACGUUGCGUCCGAGUUUGGGUUGGUGAGAUUUGUGUUCAAUUGUAUUGGAAGCUUACCGUCGUUGUGUGAAGCAAUCUUGCAAAAGAGCUAUGGCGAAAUAGCAGAGGAGGAAAUAAUUGAUAAUAGAGAGAAGGUUAUAAAAGGAAUACCAGAAUAUGGCAGUGACAAAAGGAAAAGUUUCUGGUUUCUUUCCCAAGGGUACAUCAAUGUAUGAUGAGGUUGGUGAUGUUGUUAAUUUAAACAAUUUUUUUCUUUGAUGUAAUUAAAUUUCAUUAAAAGAUAUUAGGCCAAUGCCCAAUUUACAUAAACAAUAUAAAAAAGGAAAGGACGUUGUAUGGCGGACUUGUAGCGGCGGAUUUUUGCCAUGACAAGUGCAGCACUUUUGAUGGCGGAUUUCCUCCAUCAAUUCAUUUAAUCCGCCAUUGCAAGUCUUGGACAAGCCGACCGAUUUUAUAGUUUACAGAAUUUUAAAUCCACUGAAUUUCAAAGACGUGUUAAAAAUAUUAACUGUAAGUAUAUAUAUAUGCGUGUGUGUGUUUAAAUAUUUUAGUUCUUUUCCAAAACUAAUAAAUUUUAAAUACGUAGAAUGAGUAUGAUUUCAUUCAAAGCAAAACGGGACAAAUUUAUAUCAAUAUUAAGUCGAAAAAGCUUCGUAGGAGCAACCAUAAUUUUUUGGUUAAACAAUAUGACAGAGAUCCAAAUAUGACUGAAGAAGAAUUUUUUUCAAACUCUUCCGACUUUUGUCAGCAAAUCUCAAUUUCUGAAUAAAUUGAGACAAUCAAAAGCGGAGAGAGGAAAUGUGUGUAUAUAUUUAUUGAAAUUAAAAAUUCUCUCAGUUAUUAUUUCUUAUUUUUAAUUUUUUUAGGAAAUUUUCGAGAUAAAUUUCACAAAUCGAACGAAUCAAAUGAUACAUCACGCUGGUUCAAAAGGAUUAGCCCAACGACGCCAUGAAUUGGUAAUGAUUAAUAUUUUAUAUUGAAAUUAUUCAAAUACUAAUUGAUCAUGUUAAUAUAGAGAAAACAAUGAAGGGAUGAGCUCGAAGCCUGGCCGAAUCAUUAUCAAUGACAUGUCGGAGAAAAGAAAAAAUAGUAAGUUUUUUUUAAUAAAUUAUCAUUUUUCUUUUUUAAUAUUUCAAUUUUAAUAUUUCUGCAGCGAGAAGCUACCAACUUUAUUCAAAGCCAAGAAGAAAAAUCUUUGGGUGAAACGAAAUCUAUGAUACCUAUUGUAAGUUUAAUUAAUUUAUAUAUAUUUUUUAUAUAUUCGAUUUACUAUUUAUCUAUUUUUUCAAUAAAACAAUUCAUCAAAGAUUAUGGGGAUUGGAGAAGUAGAGAGUAUGUUUAGUACGACCAACGAAAGAAUGGCGCCCCUGAUUGGAAAGAAAAAGGCAUCUCAGAAAACACUUUUGUAUCUAGACGAGCGUCAAAGGUAGUGGACGACAAAAAUGAACAAAAUUAAGUUAUUUUUAAUUUAUUUAAUUGAAUUCAAAUAUUUUUGAACUUAUUUAUAUAAUUAUAGAAUAUGUUUAAAAUUCCAGAACGUGCAAAAAAAUAGCACGAAGAAAUUAACCUUCUUAAGAACGCGCAAAAAAAGAAAUUAACCAUUAAUCUUUUUCAGAUUUGGAUUUGCCCUAGAAAGAACCUCUUCAAAUACCUUCGACUUCUCCAUUGAAAUUUCCAACUGAAAAAGAAAGAAGGAAAAAAUUAUUUAAAAUUAAGAAAUCGAACGACUAAAUUAACAAUAAACGGAUCUUGUUUUACCUUUGCUUUACAAACGAUGCGACCAGUUGUUUCGUUGCAAACUUUCACAGUUGAUGUUUUGAUAUCUUAUCAGAAAGAAUUAAAUAAAGAAAUUAAUUUUUAAUUUUUUGAUGAAUUCUAGAUAUGAAUCUAUCUUGUUAUUUUACCUUUAAACACAGCAAAAUUGUUAUUCUUCAGAAUCUCAGAUAUGCCAAUCACAGAUCCCGUCGCAGAAAAACGCCAAAAAGAAACGAUUAAUAAUUUUCAAUGAAAACAUAAUCAAUAAUAAUUCAUAAUCCUACCCAUUCCAAGUGCAGAUAAUUCAAUUUCUUCAUACUGCUGAAGAUAUUUCUGAAAAUCCAUGAUCAUCAGUUAGAAAAUAGCCAAAAAUAAAUCGUCGAAAAACAUAAUGAUCUGAACAGUACCUUGGCUAGAUUAACGUAGAAGUAUAUUGGUUUCUUUGUAUUAGAAACCUGGAUCCUAUUCUUCUUAUGCUCCAUCUUUUCAGUGAUCUUGAAUUUCUUGAUUUUCUCUGCGAUUUCGUCAAUGGAUGCCAUGGAUUCGAGCUAGAUUUCGAAUUUUUCGAAUGAAAUCCUAUUAACAUCCAGAUGAAGAAUACUGAUAUAUAAACAGAUUAAAGAUUCGAUAUUCAUAAAAAAGAGAGACCAAUUUAAUUAGUGGUCACGAAAAAAAUCUAAUAAUAACCAAAUUCAUUUUAUUAUAUUAAAUCUAGGGAUUAUAUAAUUAGCAAGUUUUUUUAGUGACCACUAAUUCGAUUGGACAUCCCUUACAUUUAUUUUAUAUAAAUACCAACCAAUCUCAUUCAUCUGUGUUCUAUUAAAUUUUGUUGGUCUAGCUAUUUACAAGAUUACAGAAUUAAAAUGUGGCUCAAAUUCAUGGCAUUCGUUAAAGAAAUCAAGGAACAAAUCAGUAACACCAAGUUCAUAUCUAAAUCCUAAGCAUAAGAAGAACAUAAUUAGGGUUUAUAAGAAAAAUCAAUCAAUCUAAUGAUCUGAACAGUACCUUGGCUAGGUCAACGUAGAAGAAUAACAAAUCACCCUAUGAAAUAAUCUAUAAUAAAAAAUCCAACUAUGAUACACAAAAAAUAACUCUUGGUUGCUUGUGUUAUGCAACUACAAAUAAUAGAGAAUAUAAGUUCUCACCAAGAUCCUUUAAAGGAAUAUUCAUAAGAUAUCCCCCAAAUGUUAAAGGAUAUUUAAUACUAGAUCCACAAACUACAAACUUUCACAUUAGUAGAAAUGUGAUUUUUAGUGAAAACAUAUUUUCCUUCAAAAGUGAAGAAACAAAAGAAAACAUACAAAAUUCAGACUAACCCAAAAUUCAGAAAAGUUGUGGGUUCAAAAUGGAUCUACAAAAUAAAAUACAAACCCAAUAUUGGAGACAUUGAGAGAUAUAAAGGUAGGUUUGUUGCCAAGGCUUUACUCAAAAAAAGGAUUUGAUUUUUAUGAAAGUUUUGUUCCGGUAGCAAAAACAGUUCAUAUGUUCAACAAAGCAUUAGUUGAAAACAUAUUAAGAGCCUCUCUAAAGCUUGGAAUACAAAUAUCUACUCCAAGACUUGAGAGGGGAGAAAAGGAAUCAAUUAGUAAAUUAAAUAAUUAAGAUCUCUAAAUUAACUUCAUUUUACUUUAAGUCUUUUCAUGUAAUUUGUAAAACAUUUUUGGACUUAAGUGAAAUAAUAAAGUAAUUGAACAUUUUCAUAUAUGGGCCAAUAUUAAAGCCCAGUGAAAGAUAUUAACAUCAUACAACCCAAAAGCAAUGGAUCAAAUAUCUUGAAUUACAAUUAGUUGUUUAAAGAUCUUGAAUUUAAUUAGUUGUUUAAAACUAAUUGUAAUUAGUUAAAGAUAACUAAAAGAUUAUAGUUGAUUAUAAUUAAUAUAAAUAAGGCUGUAAAUAAUGUUAUUUUAUUCCAAUGAAAUAAUAUUUUUUUCUCCACUUUGAUUCGUCACACAACGAUGGCAAUUCCCCCCAAAUCUGACCGUCGUCCGCUCUGGCAGUUCGAUUCGACCAUCGUUGAUUAUCCAUCCAUGCAGGAAUUUAACAACACUAACCAAGGUGAUUGAUAUGAGGCUGUUCAAUUAUUCUGAAGUUGAGAAAGACAUUUGAUGCUUUGGAAAUUAAGAACCCUAGAAAUGGAUUUGGGAUCGAGAAGGCGAUGAUUCAAGGACGUUGGAGGCAAGCAAACCCUAUUCAAGCAUAUUCAAGAAGAACCGGUAGAAAUCAUUGGAUGCGAUGAUACUCAGCUUCAGAUGCCAUUAGUAUCAAGAUUAAUC